RNAcentral lists this ribosomal RNA (374 nucleotides) under uncultured bacterium. Its description in RNAcentral is "bacterial SSU rRNA". It matches the Rfam family "Bacterial small subunit ribosomal RNA", at positions 30 to 412 of the family's 1533-position model. The record is from RNAcentral.
AUUGAACGCUGGCGGAAUGCUUAACACAUGCAAGUCGAGCGGGCUGUAGCAAUACAGCUAGCGGCGGACGGGUGAGGAAUACAUAGGAAUCUGCCUCAGAGUGGGGGAUAGCCCGGGGAAACCCGGAUUAAUACCGCAUGAUGUCGUAAGACCAAAGCAGGGGACCGUAAGGCCUUGCGCUUUGAGAUGAGCCUAUGUCGGAUUAGCUAGUUGGCGGGGUAAAAGCCCACCAAGGCGACGAUCCGUAGCUGGUCUGAGAGGACGAUCAGCCACACCGGAACUGAGACACGGUCCGGACUCCUACGGGAGGCAGCAGUGGGGAAUAUUGGACAAUGGGCGCAAGCCUGAUCCAGCAAUUCCGCGUGUGUGAAGAA